RNAcentral lists this ribosomal RNA (425 nucleotides) under uncultured bacterium. Its description in RNAcentral is "partial 16S ribosomal RNA". It matches the Rfam family "Bacterial small subunit ribosomal RNA", at positions 354 to 796 of the family's 1533-position model. The record is from RNAcentral.
GUGGGGAAUCUUAGACAAUGGGGGAAACCCUGAUCUAGCCAUGCCGCGUGAGCGAUGAAGGCCUUAGGGUUGUAAAGCUCUUUCAGCUGGGAAGAUAAUGACGGUACCAGCAGAAGAAGCCCCGGCUAACUCCGUGCCAGCAGCCGCGGUAAUACGGAGGGGGCUAGCGUUGUUCGGAAUUACUGGGCGUAAAGCGCGCGUAGGCGGACCAGAAAGUUGGAGGUGAAAUCCCAGGGCUCAACCUUGGAACUGCCUUCAAAACUCCUGGUCUGGAGUUCGAGAGAGGUGAGUGGAAUUCCGAGUGUAGAGGUGAAAUUCGUAGAUAUUCGGAGGAACACCAGUGGCGAAGGCGGCUCACUGGCUCGAUACUGACGCUGAGGUGCGAAAGCGUGGGGAGCAAACAGGAUUAGAAACCCCAGUAGUCC